UUGGCAACUCUGGAGAAUGAAGGGCUCUGUUUAACCACAGAACAGAUGCCGCAGAAGCAGCAGCUGUGCCAGCUUCCCAACACUGCUCUGCCAAUGUGCUUCAAGCCAGACCUAGAUUAGACAACCCUUUCUAGUUCAGUCUCUGGGAUAUUUUCUGCUGGCAUAA
Molecule: unclassified non-coding RNA, 166 nt
Organism: Chelonoidis abingdonii (Abingdon island giant tortoise)
Lineage: Eukaryota; Metazoa; Chordata; Testudines; Testudinidae
Source: Ensembl